GGUAGCUUGGUGCCGACAGCCGCGGUAAUACGAGGUUGGCAAGCGUUGUUCGGAAGUACGAGGCGUAAAGGGGGGGUAGGCGGCUCUUCAAGUCAGGCGUGAAAGCCCUGAGCUCAACUCAGGAACUGCGUUUGAUACUGUCGAGCUAGAGUGUGGAAGGGGCAAUCGGAAUUCCGUGUGUAGCGGUGAAAUGCGUAGAUAUACGGAGGAACACCAGAGGCGAAGGCGGAUUGCUGGGCCAACACUGACGCUGAGACGCGAAAGCCAGGGUAGCAAACGGGAUUAGAUACCCUAGUAGUC
RNAcentral lists this ribosomal RNA (300 nucleotides) under uncultured Sulfolobus sp. RNAcentral describes it as "bacterial SSU rRNA". It matches the Rfam family "Bacterial small subunit ribosomal RNA", at positions 496 to 795 of the family's 1533-position model. Lineage: Archaea; Thermoproteati; Thermoproteota; Thermoprotei; Sulfolobales; Sulfolobaceae. The record is from RNAcentral.